GCAAACUGUGCACGAGUCAUCGGGCUUAACGAUAGGAAAGGCGAAGUGAAAGUAGAGGUCUGGCUUGUCCGGACUUAGGUGAGUUCCUAUCGUACCUCAUGCGCGGUAUCACCGAACAUCGAGUGACAAGACUAUCACCAGCCCGUCAUAUGGUGUGAUGACCGUAUUCAGAGUUUCUCAUUAAGUUGGAGCGUGGGCUCAAAUGAUGAGACCCGAAAAAUGGUGAACUAUGCUUGCGCAGGUUUCAGCCAGAAGAAAUUCCGGUGAAGGACCACAUCGAUUCUGAUUUGCAAAUCGAUCGUCAGGCGUGAGUAUAGGGGCGAAAUAUUAAUCAAUCCAUCCAGUAGCCGG
Molecule: non-coding RNA, 351 nt
Filed under: Clonorchis sinensis
Lineage: Eukaryota; Metazoa; Platyhelminthes; Trematoda; Opisthorchiida; Opisthorchiidae
Description: Eukaryotic large subunit ribosomal RNA
Rfam family: Eukaryotic large subunit ribosomal RNA
Source: Rfam by way of RNAcentral